AGGACGAACGCUGGCGGCGUGCUUAAAACAUGCAAGUCGAACGAGGUCCAUGGGUUCGCAAGAACCCGGAAGACCUAGUGGCGAACGGGUGCGUAACACGUGAGGAACCUGCCCCAGAGACCGGGAUAACCCUCCGAAAGGAGAGCUAAUACCGGAUGUGCUCAUCGGAUCACCUGGUCUGAUGAGGAAAUGGAUUCCGCUCUGGGAUGGCCUCGCGGCCUAUCAGCUUGUUGGUGGGGUAACGGCUACCAAGGCGACGACGGGUAGCUGGUCUGAGAGGACGAUCAGCCACACUGGGACUGAGACACGGCCCAGACU
RNAcentral lists this ribosomal RNA (318 nucleotides) under uncultured soil bacterium. RNAcentral's name for it is "bacterial SSU rRNA". It matches the Rfam family "Bacterial small subunit ribosomal RNA", at positions 26 to 337 of the family's 1533-position model. The record is from RNAcentral.